AUGAACGGUUUACUUGAGAAGGAAUUCACGACGGAGGAGGUACGCAAUGCUCUUUUCCAAAUGGCGUCGUCGAAAGCGCCAGGUGUGGACGGUUUUACCGCUGGUUUCUUCCAGCGACAUUGGGAUGUUUUAGGCGGUGAUGUUACGGUGGCCGUGCUCGAUUUUCUGAAUGGGGGGGAGCUGCCGUUGGGCCUCAAUGACAGAACCAUCACUCUAAUUCCCAAGGUACGGAAUCCCUAGAAGAUAUCUCAAUACCGACCAAUUUCUCUUUGCCCGGUCCUAUACAAAAUUGCAGCGAAGGCGAUCACCAAUAGGUUACGCGGGCUGAUGGAUGAGAUAAUUGGGGAGGAACAAAGUACUUUUGUGCCGGGGCGAUUUAUCACUGACAACGUCCUGGUAGCUUAUGAAAGUGUACAUGCAAUGAAGAAAAAGAAGCGAUGUAAACAAGCCUCUUGUGCUGUCAAACUCGACAUGUUGAAAGCUUAUGAUCGUGUGGAAUGGCAUUAUUUGGAGGCAAUGUUAGUCAGACUUGGGUUCUGCGAUAAGUUAGUGCGUCACAUUAUGAAAUGUGUCACCUCCGUCAGAUUCACAUUUAAGGUAAACGACUCACUUUUGCCGUUUUUCACACCCUCCAGAGGGUUGCGACAAGGGGAUCCAGCAUCUCAUUUUCUCUUGCUUAUAUGUGCAGAGGGCCUCACAUCCUUAAUGAAUUAUUAUGGUGGUGCAUAUAUUAACCGAGGCAUUAGGGUGAGUGUUCACUCGCCUUGGGUUAAUCAUUUGCUCUUUGCGGAUGACAACUUGAUCUUUAUGAAUGCAAAGGUGGAAAGUGCAAAUAGAUUGAAUGACAUCCUCAGGAUCUAUGCUACCUGCUCUGGACAGACAGUAAACUGGGAGAAGAGUGCAGUUUAUCUCAGUCCUAAUGCGUUACCACCGCUAAGGACAGAGACUAAACAGACACUAGGAAUUUUUGUCGAAGCUUUUACCGAACGCUACUUGGGUUUACCAACAGCAGUCGGUAGGAUCACAAGUGGAAGUUUUUCUCAUAUUGGUGAGAGAAGCCGGAGUAAAAUGCAAGGUUGGUCAGAGAAGAACUUGGCGUGUGCUGGGAGGGAAGUAUUGCUCAAAUCAGUGGUCCAAGCCAUACCUACUUUCAGCAUGACUUGCUUUCAACUGACCAAGGGGGUCUGCUCACAAUUAACCUCCUCUAUGGCCAAAUAUUAGGUGGAGCAGCAACAUUGA
RNAcentral lists this ribosomal RNA (1239 nucleotides) under Triticum aestivum (bread wheat). RNAcentral describes it as "partial small subunit ribosomal RNA". The record is from RNAcentral. Lineage: Eukaryota; Viridiplantae; Streptophyta; Magnoliopsida; Poales; Poaceae.